CAGCCGGCUCCAGCCCCUCCCUCUCACUCCUCCCCUCCCCCUCAGCCCCCCUCCCUCUCCGCCCCUCCCCCCUGCCCGCUCGCCUCCUCGGGGCCCACCGGCCGCCUGGGUCCGGGAAGCGGUCGGGGGCGCCGGGCCCAUUCCUUCCUGAGCCCGGCGUCUUCGCGCGGUUAUCAAAGUUAUUUUUACACGUCGAGAAUUUUUCAAGUGAGCACUUGUGCGGUGGCACCUUCUCCUUGUCGCGCUUGUGCCUUGAAGAAAUUUACCGGCUUAUUUAUAGCCCGUGUUUAUUUUUACUCAACUCCUGAACUUGAGCUUCCGAGAAUAGCUACUACAUUCAACUAAGUACUUACUAAAUCUUCCUCCUUAUGGGCAGUUGGUCAAGAUGUAAGACAUUGACCCAUCCUCAACAAGCGACUGAAUGCUGCUUCUGUUGGAGUCAGCUGCUUUCACCGUGUGCCCGGGCUCCUCGCAGAGAGGGGACGUACAGAGCUUCGAGGGCGAGCAUCGAGGCACCACGGAGAUGUGCUGCCAUAAAAGUGUCUUCUCGCAUUUUCAACGUAAACAAAUGUUAUUGCCACCAGGAAAUAGACCGCAUGAAAAGAAACGUCGGGAACCUGGAAGAGCUGCCCAGGCAGUAAUUCUUUUCGGCUUCCAAGUUCAUUACCCUCAUUAACUCAAGUCAAUGAGACAGAACAAAAGGCUUCUCAAAAGCCCCAUAAACACGAGGCAUACAUAUUUUCAAUCUGGGGCUAUAAUCUAACAAAGCUGAUUUUUCUUCUUGCUCACUGGGCACUUCUAGUUUUUCUCUUAUGGUAAGUGUGCCUUGUAUUAUAGUCCUCGUAUCCUGUGUUACAAAGUACCAUUUAUCUUGAACUCACUGAUGGUUUUUUUU
Molecule: long non-coding RNA, 895 nt
Filed under: Vulpes vulpes (red fox)
Lineage: Eukaryota; Metazoa; Chordata; Mammalia; Carnivora; Canidae
Description: lncRNA (ENSVVUG00000026270.1)
Source: RNAcentral